CCCCUGGACGAAGACUGACGCUCAGGUACGAAAGCGUGGGGAGCAAACAGGAUUAGAUACCCUGGUAGUCCACGCUGUAAACGAUGUCGAUUUGAAGGUUGUGGCUUUGAGCCCUGGCUUUCGGAGCUAACGCGUUAAAUCGACCGCCUGGGGAGUACGGCCGCAAGGUUAAAACUCAAAUGAAUUGACGGGGGCCCGCACAAGCGGUGGAGCAUGUGGUUUAAUUCGAUGCAACGCGAAAAACCUUACCUACUCUUGACAUCCAGAGAACUUGGCAGAGAUGCCUUGGUGCCUUCGGGAACUCUGAGACAGGUGCUGCAUGGCUGUCGUCAGCUCGUGUUGUGAAAUGUUGGGUUAAGUCCCGCAACGAGCGCAACCCUUAUCCUUUGUUGCCAGCGACUUGGUCGGGAACUCAAAGGAGACUGCCGGUGAUAAA
RNAcentral lists this ribosomal RNA (436 nucleotides) under Sodalis endosymbiont of Cicadella viridis. Its description in RNAcentral is "bacterial SSU rRNA". It matches the Rfam family "Bacterial small subunit ribosomal RNA", at positions 726 to 1162 of the family's 1533-position model. Lineage: Bacteria; Pseudomonadati; Pseudomonadota; Gammaproteobacteria; Enterobacterales; Bruguierivoracaceae. The record is from RNAcentral.